Aphis gossypii (cotton aphid) is the source of this 1014-nucleotide long non-coding RNA. RefSeq lists it as uncharacterized. The transcript is spliced from 3 exons. Lineage: Eukaryota; Metazoa; Arthropoda; Insecta; Hemiptera; Aphididae. The record is from RefSeq and is a predicted model, not a curated record.
CCAUAGAAAACAAAUUGUAAGCAUUUAGCAUACCCACUUCAAUGCAAAGUACUUUUUACUGGAGGCCGAUUUUUGAAAUCGCGAUAAACUGGCGAAUGCGAUAAGGAUUUUAUCGCACGAUAAUAAAAAUUUGGUAUUCUUAAAAACAUGUAUGAUUUUAGUCGAACGAAAAACAUUCGUCUAAUGUAUGAAAUGUGAUAUAAAUUUUCUUAUUAUACAACAGAAUAUUAGACAUUAUAGUUAUUACCCACUAAAUAUUUUUAUCAAUUAUCGAUUUGUCAUUUUGCGUUGUGUAUAUUCCUUUGUAUUCAUCCGUAAUUAAUUGUCUUUCUUCGAUUACAAUGGCAAAUUUUGAUGAAAUGGCAAUGUUAUUUGCGAUUGAUAAUGUUAUUGAGCAUGAACGAGUGAAUAACGUACGACAAACACAAAGGAAAGAGACAAAUUCAGAUACUUUCGAUACAUCAGAUCGAAUUUUCAUUAAAAAUUUCAGACUUACUACAGACCUUGUAAGAUAUUUUAUUGAACAUUUACGACCACAUAUAAUUUCAAAAUACCAUCAGUCUGCAAUUGAUUUAAAUACAAAGGCAAUUCUGGAUACCUCUCACGUCAAUAGUUUUUGACACCAAUAUCAAUCCCUACAACGGAUGCUGAAAGAUAUUAUAAUCAAAAACAAAUGUCAACCAGACGCAUAAUAGAACGUUGUAGCGGAGUGUUAAAAGUGCGAUUUAGGUGUUUAUUGAAAAACAGAACUUAAUGUCUUUGCACUAUAAACCAGAAAAGGCAUUGUUAAUAAAUAAUAAUAAAUGCGUGUAUAGUUCUACAUAAUAUGUGUAUUACUAACAAUGUUCCCUUGUAUAGUUGUAUGAACUUGACGUUCCUGUGCAUGAUGAUUUGGGUGUGAUGGUAAACCAAGAAAUAUUAGCUUGACCAUAUUCAAAAUUUACACUUGGCUCUUGGUAGACACAUAGGAAUACAAUAUAACAUAGGUACUUACUUCAUAGACAUGUUGUUUAA